UCUGUCAUCAAUCACUCCUUAUUUCUUUUCUUUCAUCUUCUUCCUUAAUUCUUUUCCUUCGUCUUCUUCUUCAACAUUGAUGAUGGUAAUUUCUUCAUUGGAAAGAAGGAGAACGUGAUGCACCGCUUUAGAACCCUAAAAUCAAGCUCAUUCGUUAUGAAAGUGUCAUCAAGCUUCUCUUUGUGGAGUUGAAUCAGAUAAACCAUUUAAAAGUCGUGACCGCACUUAGGUCCCGUGGAGGUGACGAAGCUACAUCGCAUAAUGGGGAGGGAGUAGAGGUUGUUGUUGGAGGCGAAAAACCCCAUGUUCCAGUCGCUGGACUUGACCGGUCUGACGCACACGCUGAUGGUGUUGUACGAUCUGGUGUGGAUCGUGUAGAAGGUCGACAGAGUCGCCAAUGGAUCUAGUCAGAACAAUCCACUUUAACUUUUCUCAACGAAUGCUGAAUUUUUGGAAUGCUAAGCACAAACUUGAGUCUCAGACUUCAUGCUUUGAGGUUAACUUUUGGUACCUCCUUUCAAUCGAUUGAUGUUAUUGUUGUUAUGCUGAGUGUAGAAACUUUAUAAUCUUAUUCUAUAUAAUGGAAAUUUGAGGAACCGAUUGUGUAGAAAAUUAAUUGUUGAGCUCUGUUACUUCCUCGGCUGGUACUAGUAGUGGUGUUGUGACCACCCCUUCUGAGGUUAAGCAGAGAGAAGAGUUGGUGGUGCUGCCCGUGGAUAACGGAGAGAAUCUUAUCUCCGAUCACGCUCACUUCAAUCUCUCCACUACUCCUCCAUUUUCUGUUCAGGCCAUACAAACAUCUCAACAUCAUGCAAAGUCAAGGAAGUCUUUAGUUAGAAGGUUUUCUGCUAGAUAUACUGUGUAAUGGGAUUACCCAGGGGAUUUGAAGAAACUGUUUAGCAGUCCUGUUGGGAAUAUAAGUGUUAGAAAGGGCUCUAAGGAUGAAGGUGCUACUCAUAUUAUAUCAGAAGACAGAUCCUCACAGGUGAAGGAAAUUGAGGAAGUGAGACAUUCUUUGGGACAGGACAUCAAGAAUUCAGAACCUUCAGCGGAAUCAACAUGUGAACUAAUAAAAUUCCCAGUCAAAGAAAAUUCAGUUGAUAAAGAGAGUGAACAGGGAGAAACCAUGGCCGUGUGCAAGGAUGCACUUAGUAGGUAUGAGAAAAAGUUGAGCGAAUGAGUGUGGAGGAGUUUGAACGGGGCAAGCUUUGGUUAAGCGAUACUUUUUCUCUCAUAAGGUGUGAAGAUGACUCCCUUCCAAAUAUAAGAUGGGUCCUUGACCUUGCAAAAGUUGCAGUAUUAAGGCACGGGGUGCGAGGACUUGUAAUUGAUCCUUAUAAUGAGCUUGAUCAUCAGCGACCUCCAAACUAGACCGAAACAGAAUAUGUGAGAUGCUUACCUUAAUCAAACGCUUUGCACAACAUCAUGGAUGCGAUGUUUGGUUUUUAGCACAUCCUAGGCAGCUGCAUAAUUGGGUUGGGGGUCCUCCCAAUCUCUAUGAUAUAACUGGAAGUGCACACUUCAUAAAUAAGUGUGACAAUGGAAUUGUUAUUCACCGAAAUCGGGAUCCUGAAGCUGGACCUAUGAAUCAAGUACAGGGUAACUGGUGAAUACACACCAACAGAUAACAAGAGACCAACUGAUAGGCUUGUACAGUGGUCGACAACAACUACGUCCUAAAAUGAACUUAACUUCUGAUACUAGGAUUGUGUCUAAAACAUGGCCAUAGUGUCUUCAUUGGAGUGCCAAAGGGUUGAGAAUCUUGCUGACUUCUAUGAAUAUUGCAAGGGAUUGGAACUUGCCAUGAAUUUCAAGUUUCCAACACUAAGACAAGUUCUUUUUGUUUGUUACAGCAAGUCAUAUGAUAUUAUGUCUUUGCAUUAAAGUCACAAUUGGAUGAACAAAAUAAACGAAAUGAAGAACGUGACAAAAGACUUAAUGCAAUCAUGAACUUCUUUUCUCAAAAUUAUCAAGGUCAAUUGCCUCCUGAGUUGACUAUGUUCAAUCCUGCACCGGUUUCUGAUCAAGGAAGUGUGCCAACUAAUACAACAAGUUCUGGACAUGAGGAAAAUCAUAUGUGAUAGUUGAAGAAUAUAAUAUAAUAUGGAAGUUAAUUGAAUCAUUUUAUG
Long non-coding RNA from Vigna unguiculata (cowpea), 2129 nucleotides. NCBI's taxonomy places the organism in Eukaryota, Viridiplantae, Streptophyta, Magnoliopsida, Fabales, Fabaceae. The record is from RefSeq and is a predicted model, not a curated record.